This 256-nucleotide ribosomal RNA is filed under the name uncultured bacterium. Its description in RNAcentral is "partial 16S ribosomal RNA". It matches the Rfam family "Bacterial small subunit ribosomal RNA", at positions 99 to 354 of the family's 1533-position model. The record is from RNAcentral.
CGGACGGGUGAGUAACACGUAGAGAACCUACCUUACACAGGGGGACAACGGCUGGAAACGGCUGCUAAUACCGCAUAAGCACCCAGUUUCGCAUGAAACAGAGUGAAAAGAGUAAAUCGGUGUAAGAUGGCUCUGCGUCUGAUUAGCUAGUUGGUGGGGUAAAGGCUCACCAAGGCGACGAUCAGUAGCCGGCCUGAGAGGGCGACCGGCCACAUUGGGACUGAGACACGGCCCAGACUCCUACGGGAGGCAGCAG